GAUAACUUACAGUGGCGAAGCAGAGGCCAGAAGCGUCAAAAGUGUCGUCAGUAAUAAGUAUGUUUAUGCGUUAAUUUAACUUUAUUUAUUUAAUCGGUUUAUUGUUAUUAGAACUUGUCAAAAGGCAAGGAUACUGCCGGAAUCUAAGUCUGUCUUCCUAUUGACAUGUAUUAUAGACCCUUUAGCUGUAUGAGUUUGUGUAUGUAGAGCUUAAGUAACAGUGGUGUGUCUUCUGUUCCAGCGGAGCGUUUGUGCACGCCCGCCUAGCGGAGGGCGCGGAGGCGCUGGAGAUCAAUAACCCCAUGUACCUGGCCGGGGACGACGACCGCGACCCACCCGACAGCGACGCGCGCCGGCCCGCCUCCAACGGCGGCAACCACUUCGCGAACCCGGUCUACGACAGCGUGUACGCGCCGCCGGAGGGACAGCGCGCCGAGGAGCAGGCGUCGCUGCUGGACGCGCCGCCGGAGCGCGCCGCGCUGCUGGGCGCCGCGCCCUAGGCCGUAGGGCGGCCCUAGGGCGGCCGUAGGGCGGCUGCCGACGUGGCGGUCUGAUGUAUCCGCGGACAUAGCUCUAACUAAUGAAUUGAUUGUAUUGGCAGUUAAUCGAUUAACCUUUUUGAAAUGUUCAAUGUAAAGUAUAGUUAACCUAACCUAACUACUGUAGUUCAACACACAUGUGGCUUGAGGUUGUUGUUAAAACUACAAAAUAACUAGCGACGUGCUCUCGUUGAACGCUCAUUCUAGUGCCAAAACCCGUAUAUUGUAAGCACUAAUUAUUACAUUUAUUUUAAGCCUAUUUCUAGAUUAAAAUAUAUCAUUUACACCGAGAUGUAUUACAUACGACUGUAGUUAACAUAUCAACAGACGUGUCCACGCUGACAUAGCGCUAACAGUUCGAAAAUUACUCUUUAUAUUAGCUUCAUUUACAAACGACGUAGUCGAAAUCUUUAUCCUCUCUAAUACUUUAAACGUAACGAAAGACCAAAAAGAUACGAAAAUUAUAGUGAUUAUAUUAAGUACACGUAGAAUAAAUGAUUUAAGUCCCAAUAAUCUCCUCUGCGUUCCCCUCAUAGCGUGUAGUGUUUUAUAUUUCAACUUAAUUUUUUUAACAAUAUAAAAGUUAUUUCGAUAAUUCAAAAAUAUAAAUUAAUAUUUAAAAUAGUUUCGAUAAUCCUAGACGUAAGCGUAACUGCGAUUGUGAUGAACUGUAAGUGUAGAUAGUUUGCAGGCUCUUUUAGAUUUGUAUCUUCACAUACGUCGAGACGCGGUCAACCUGACGUAAACAGUUCUAAAUAUAUUUAUACGGCGUUUUUCAUUUUAAUUUACAAAAAUAACUUGAAUGGGCAGAAUUUAUAAUAUUUAUCCUGUAAUAAUAUGUUCUUUUUACUUGUGUGGUGGCAAGGAAUAAGCGGCCUAGUAAUUUUAACAGACUUUGUACUUGACAAACAUAUAUUUUAUUAAUUUAAAUCAAGACUUUUCUUUGUUAUGAAAUAAGAAAAAACGUAUAUUGUUUUACCUUUAAGUAUUUUUUAUUGUAAUUUACAUUGUUUCUUAUUCUUAAAUCUGAAAUCAUAUUUAUUUUCUGGAUGACAUUUUUAUCGUUUAUUCAUUAACCGUUUAAAAUAUUAUAAUUGUGUCUAUAAAUAUAUUUUGACGAUAAUCACUUUUUUUGUGAAUUUAUUCUAAUUUUAUAACCGCGUAUUAUUUCCAUUUUAAUAAAUCAAUUUAAAAUGUUUGUCAGUGUAUGCAAUCUCUCCGAGACUGACUGUACAAGCUAUAUUUACUUUUAAGUAUACUGUAGUAAACAAAUCAUUAACUUAGCGAGGGCAGUUUUUUAUUAUUAUUAAUAUACAUAAUAAUUUUGACAUUACAAAAUUGUGCCAUACAAACUUGUAAUAUAGUUUGUGAAAUUGUGUUGUAAUAUUUUGAUAUUUUUACAGAAUCGGUACUCGUGUACUGUACAUGUGCUUUUAUAAUAAAUAUUACAUAGUAAAUUAAGAAGUUAUUAUUGAUUAACUUCAAUGAACGCGUUAUAAGUCUUCUCACGGCCAGGUCAGGUUAAAAUCUUAUUGGCAGCUAACGUAGGUUGUGUUUAUUAUAUAAUUUACUUUAAAAAAUUGAAAAAUCGACUUUAAUUAUUUGCGAUUGUUUGAUAUAAAAGAAAUGGGACCAUCCUUGAGGUCGAUAUUCAAUAAAUAAAUAGAUUAAUAACUGUGUGAAAUAAUCAAUUUUUAAAGUCUGUUAACUAUAAUUAUUUUAUUACAUAAAUGAUAUGUAUAUGUCAUAUCAGUAGAUGUUAUAUUAAAUCACUUGAGUGAUGAAUGUCAUUGUAAUUAAAAUUGAGCUUACUACUGUCGAUGUAUUCUUUCGGACUACGAACGUGUUUCGUUCUUUGUGUAAAUUAAACAAUAUAGCACAAAUCGAUCUAAAGUAAUACUGUGAGUAGUUCUAGUGUCUAAAUAAAACAAAUUCAAUAAUAUG
RNAcentral lists this unclassified non-coding RNA (2483 nucleotides) under Melitaea cinxia (Glanville fritillary). RNAcentral's name for it is "misc RNA ENSMCXG00005012364.1". Lineage: Eukaryota; Metazoa; Arthropoda; Insecta; Lepidoptera; Nymphalidae. The record is from RNAcentral.